UACGUAGGGUGCGAGCGUUGUCCGGAAUUAUUGGGCGUAAAGGGCUCGUAGGUGGUUUGUCGCGUUGUUCGUGAAAACUCACAGCUCAACUGUGGGCGUGCGGGCGAUACGGGCAGACUGGAGUACUGCAGGGGAGACUGGAAUUCCUGGUGUAGCGGUGGAAUGCGCAGAUAUCAGGAGGAACACCGGUGGCGAAGGCGGGUCUCUGGGCAGUAACUGACGCUGAGGAGCGAAAGCGUGGGGAGCGAACAGG
RNAcentral lists this ribosomal RNA (253 nucleotides) under uncultured bacterium. Its description in RNAcentral is "partial 16S ribosomal RNA". It matches the Rfam family "Bacterial small subunit ribosomal RNA", at positions 524 to 776 of the family's 1533-position model. The record is from RNAcentral.